This 145-nucleotide ribosomal RNA is filed under the name Ramaria rubella f. rubella. RNAcentral's name for it is "5.8S ribosomal RNA". It matches the Rfam family "5.8S ribosomal RNA". Rfam says of the family: 5.8S ribosomal RNA (5.8S rRNA) is a component of the large subunit of the eukaryotic ribosome. It is transcribed by RNA polymerase I as part of the 45S precursor that also contains 18S and 28S rRNA. The record is from RNAcentral. Lineage: Eukaryota; Fungi; Basidiomycota; Agaricomycetes; Gomphales; Gomphaceae.
ACUUUCAACAACGGAUCUCUUGGCUUUCGCAUCGAUGAAGAACGCCGCGAAAGUGCGAAACGUAAUGUGAAUUGCAGAAUUCAGUGAAUCAUCGAAUCUUUGAACGCAUCUUGCGCUCCUUGGUAUKCSGRGGAGGCMWGCCUGU